Molecule: ribosomal RNA, 554 nt
Filed under: fungal sp. E14408F
Lineage: Eukaryota; Fungi
Description: eukaryotic LSU rRNA
Rfam family: 5.8S ribosomal RNA (bases 168-321)
Source: RNAcentral
CGUAGGUGAACCUGCGGAGGGAUCAUUACUGAGUACUACACUCUCUACCCUUUGUGAACUAUUAUACCUGUUGCUUCGGCGGCGCCCGCAAGGGUGCCCGCCGGUCUCAUCAGAAUCUCUGUUUUCGAACCCGACGAUACUUCUGAGUGUUCUUAGCGAACUGUCAAAACUUUUAACAACGGAUCUCUUGGCUCCAGCAUCGAUGAAGAACGCAGCGAAACGCGAUAUGUAAUGUGAAUUGCAGAAUUCAGUGAAUCAUCGAAUCUUUGAACGCACAUGGCGCCUUCCAGUAUCCUGGGAGGCAUGCCUGUCCGAGCGUCGUUUCAACCCUCGAGCCCCUGUGGCCCGGCGUUGGGGAUCUGCCACGGCAGGCCUCUAAAACCAGUGGCGGACCCGAAGGGCCCUCUCCUUUGCGCAGUAGCAUUCGCCUCGCAUUGGGAGUCCUCGGCGUCCUGCCUCUAAACCCCCCACAAGCCCGCUUCGGCGGCACCAAGGUUGACCUCGGAUCAGGUAGGAAUACCCGCUGAACUUAAGCAUAUCAAUAAGCGGAGGAA